Molecule: ribosomal RNA, 207 nt
Filed under: uncultured bacterium
Lineage: Bacteria
Description: partial 16S ribosomal RNA
Rfam family: Bacterial small subunit ribosomal RNA
Source: RNAcentral
CACGUAGGCGGCCUGGUAAGUCAGAUGUGAAAGCCCGGGGCUUAACCCCGGAAGUGCAUUUGAUACUGCCAGGCUUGAGUAUGGGAGAGGGAAGUGGAAUUCCUGGUGUAGAGGUGAAAUUCGUAGAUAUCAGGAGGAACACCGGUGGCGAAGGCGACUUCCUGGACCAAUACUGACGCUGAGGUGCGAAGGCGUGGGUAGCAAACA